This 480-nucleotide ribosomal RNA is filed under the name uncultured bacterium. Its description in RNAcentral is "partial 16S ribosomal RNA". It matches the Rfam family "Bacterial small subunit ribosomal RNA", at positions 28 to 523 of the family's 1533-position model. The record is from RNAcentral.
GACGAACGCUGGCGGCGUGCUUAACACAUGCAAGUCGAGCGAUGAAGCUUUCUUCGGAAAGCGGAUUAGCGGCGGACGGGUGAGUAACACGUGGGUAACCUGCCUCAUAGAGGGGAAUAGCCUUUCGAAAGGAAGAUUAACACCGCAUAAGAUUGUAGUAUCGCAUGGUACAGCAAUUAAAGGAGUAAUCCGCUAUGAGAUGGACCCGCGUCGCAUUAGCUAGUUGGUGAGGUAACGGCUCACCAAGGCGACGAUGCGUAGCCGACCUGAGAGGGUGAUCGGCCAAAUUGGGACUGAGACACGGCCCAGACUCCUACGGGAGGCAGCAGUGGGGAAUAUUGCACAAUGGGGGAAACCCUGAUGCAGCAACGCCGCGUGAGUGAUGACGGUCUUCGGAUUGUAAAGCUCUGUCUUUAGGGACGAUAAUGACGGUACCUAAGGAGGAAGCCACGGCUAACUACGUGCCAGCCGCCGCCGUAA